This 157-nucleotide unclassified non-coding RNA is filed under the name soil metagenome. RNAcentral's name for it is "partial internal transcribed spacer 1". The record is from RNAcentral.
CAAGAAACGAGGCCGCGUGCGCUCGCCCGCCCGGCCCCGCUCCUUACCUUGCCUACUGCACCGUUUGUUGCUUCUUGGCGGCGGACUGCCCGCCGCCAGGGACGUCGAUACAAUCCUGUAUAGAAGCAUUGAAGCUCUGAGAAAACGCGAAAUCGUA